This 335-nucleotide unclassified non-coding RNA is filed under the name soil metagenome. RNAcentral's name for it is "partial contains 5.8S ribosomal RNA, internal transcribed spacer 2, and large subunit ribosomal RNA". The stretch from base 1 to 120 matches the Rfam family "5.8S ribosomal RNA", at positions 35 to 154 of the family's 154-position model. The record is from RNAcentral.
GAUGAAGAACGUAGCGAAAUGCGAUAAGUAAUGUGAAUUGCAGAAUUCCGUGAAUCAUCGAAUCUUUGAACGCACAUUGCGCCCCCUGGUAUUCCGGGGGGCAUGCCUGUCCGAGCGUCAUUGCAACCUUCAAGCGCGGCUUGUGUGUUGGGUCUCGUCCCCCGUGGACGGGCCCGAAAGGCAGUGGCGGCGUCCCGACAUGGUGCCCGAGCGUAUGGGAAUCCUCUUCCGCUCGAAUCGGCCCAUGCGGCGCUGGUCGUAACCAAAUUUUUUACCGGUUGACCUCGGAUCAGGUAGGGAUACCCGCUGAACUUAAGCAUAUCAAUAAGCGGAGG